Non-coding RNA from Callorhinus ursinus (northern fur seal), 1646 nucleotides. The record is from RefSeq and is a predicted model, not a curated record. NCBI's taxonomy places the organism in Eukaryota, Metazoa, Chordata, Mammalia, Carnivora, Otariidae.
CUCUUAGAAUAUGACUAUUAGGAAAUUGGAAGACUUAAUGCACUUUACAUCUUUUAAAGUGUGGGCAGUGCUGUUCUAGGGCCUGUAAUCCCUCCUUUGAUUUGAGGACACUUUGGUGCCAAAGGCACCAGAACCACAGAAUGUUAGACCCGAAGAGGACUUAGAGCGUAUCUAGGCCGGUGGUUUUCAAACUGUGUUAGGAUGAACCACAGGGAAUGGAGACACCAGUGCCAGGCGAAGGGUAAAGCCAGAGCCCUGGUGGUAAGCUGGAGGAGCUCUGAGACCAUGCACCCACCCCCUACCCCCAACUUGAGAUGUAUUCUUCUGUUCCUGAGACUCCAAAGUAAGAUUUCAUCUGAAGAAAGAACUCCAGUUGGUAUUUUGUUUUGUUUUGUUGUUUUAAUUCUGGCCCAUCAUUUUACCUAUAAGGCAACUGGAGGCCCAGGGAAUGGCAAUGACCUGGCCGAAGCCAUGCUUGACCUCAGGACUCAACCUCAACUUCAUCUCAAGGUCCAGUGUGGCCUCUACAGUGGAGGAAGUGACUGACCUGUUGGGGACUAAUAAACUCCCUGUCUCAACUGGGAGGCAACUGGACACCUUUCCAAACUCUUCCUCCCCCUCCACUCGUCCCUCCGUUUGUGACCUCAGAAAUACCUCCUGCUCUUUGUCAAAACAGAUUCUGGCUAGGUCCAUGUGUGUGGAUCAUUGACACAACUUCUUUUCUUUAUGAAAAUACCAAACAAAAAACUCACUGGUGGUUGGUUUCCAGGAACGUGUUGCUCUGGGAUGGAAGGCCUAUUAUUAUUGUGUGUUGCUACAUCAAAGACUUAACAUUUUCCCCUUUGCCAGGCUGAGCGAUCAUCUUCUCAUUAGAAAAUGCUGUCAGACCCACAGUGGCUCAGCCCCAGCAGGCUGUGACUGAGAGCUGUGAAGGGACCUCCUGGGAUGCCAAGACAAGCCCAAGCCUCCAAGGGACUGAACUGGCUUUAAAGAUCUGGCAUUUGGAAAAUAAGAAUAACGGGUGCGGAGUCUUGUUUCGUUCUGUGCCCAGCACUGCUGCAAGUGAUCUACGUGCAUUAACUCACUCAAAGCUUCACAUCCGCAUCGCGGCUAUAAGUAAUCGACAUGCGGUUGGAUCAUUAUAAGAUCUCAGCAUAGGAGCCUAAAGAGUGGACUUCUCAAAAUGAAGAGGUCACAGUCACAAAACCACAUCGGAGACUAAAGCGUCCUCUAUUUCUGCAGCUACAUAGUGUUUUCAGUUUCCCUGGCUCUUUAUCAGGAAUGUGUGGGGAGCUUGACUCCAAAUCUACAACUCUGCUUCAUCCUCCCCAGUUUCUAGCAGACCAGAAGCCUGUUCUCUAGACCAGAGCUUCUCCAACUCUAGAUUCACACAGAUUUUUACCGGAGUAUCUUAUAAAAAUGCUGGCUCCGAUUCAGUAGGGUGGAGAUGCGACCCAAGAUUCUACAUUUCCUAAUACACUUCCCCAUGAUUUUGAUGCAGCUGGUCCACAGAUCACACAUCUGGACCCAGACCAUCCAAUUCAGUAGCCACCAGCCAUGUGUGCCUCUUUGAGCAUUUGAAUUGGGGCUAAUCUGCAUUAACAUUGACUCUAAGUGUAAAAUACAUACCAGGUUUUGAAGAUUCA